GGGAAGGUCCCCACCAUGGCCUGGACGGUGCUUCUGCUCGGGCUGCUGGCUUACGGCUCAGGGGUAGAUGCUCAGACUGUGGUCCAGGAGCCAGCACUGUCAGUGUCUGCAGGAGGGACGGUCACCCUCACCUGUGGCCUCAGCUCUGGGUCAGUCACUACCAGUAACUACCCCGGCUGGUUCCAGCAGACCCCAGGACAGGCUCCCAGAACUUUUAUCUACUAUACAAACAGCCGCCUCUCUGGGAUCCCUGAUCGCUUCUCUGGCUCCAUCUCUGGGAACAAAGCCGCCCUCACCAUCACGGGGGUCCAGCCUGAGGACGAGGCUGUCUAUUACUCUGCUCUAUACACCGGAUACAGGGACAGGACUGGGGUCCUCCCAGCGUGGAGCCCCCAGGGCAUCAGCACUGGCUCGGGAGGGGAGCAGAAACCAGGGGAGCCUGAGGGACGGUGA
Dama dama (fallow deer) is the source of this 453-nucleotide non-coding RNA. The record is from the annotation of a RefSeq genome assembly. Lineage: Eukaryota; Metazoa; Chordata; Mammalia; Artiodactyla; Cervidae.